GAUGAAGAACGUAGUGAAAUGCGAUAAGUAGUGUGAAUUGCAGAAUUCAGUGAAUCAUCGAAUCUUUGAACGGACAUUGCGCCCCUUGGUAUCCCGAGGGGCAUGCCUGUUCGAGCGUCAUUUCACCACUCAAGCCUGGCUUGGUGUUGGGCGACGUCCUCUUUGGGGACGCGCCUCGAAACGCUCGGCGGCGUGGCACCGGCUUUAAGCGUAGCAGAAUCUUUCGCUUUGGAAGUCGGGGCCCCGUCUGCCGGAAGACCUGCUCGCAAGGUUGACCUCGGAUCAGGCAGGGAUACCCGCUGAACUUAAGCAUAUCAAUAAGCGGAGGA
This 329-nucleotide unclassified non-coding RNA is filed under the name soil metagenome. RNAcentral's name for it is "partial contains 5.8S ribosomal RNA, internal transcribed spacer 2, and large subunit ribosomal RNA". The stretch from base 1 to 120 matches the Rfam family "5.8S ribosomal RNA", at positions 35 to 154 of the family's 154-position model. The record is from RNAcentral.